GGGGAUGAAGGGAAUCGACUGGUAGUUAAAGCGUAAAGUUCAAGCCGAAGGCAACCUGGAUCUUCGUAAAAAUCAAGGUUAAACAAAAAUGCUGAUGAAGAAUUAGCUCCUGUUGGCGAAUUUGCUUACGCAUACGCCUAAUACAGGUGUUCUAGAAGCACUAUCCUAGCGGAGCUUUUAGGGCAUAAACCAAGCUGGGAAAACCUAUUCUAACAGGACUGGUUGAUUCUAAGAAAAGGUUUUUAGAUCGAAUUUAUUUGAUCUUAUCUCAACCGGCAAAGAUAGAGAUUUGACUCUUUUUCUGUAGUCUUUGCUCAAAAAAACAAAAAGAUGUCUAAGCUUGUAAAAAUAUUUUAUGUAGAGAUUAUCAGCACGGGGGUUCAACUCCCCCCAUCUCCACCA
RNAcentral lists this transfer-messenger RNA (402 nucleotides) under Patescibacteria group. Its description in RNAcentral is "CG1-02-41-21 sp002778645 Standard tmRNA". It matches the Rfam family "transfer-messenger RNA". Rfam says of the family: Bacterial tmRNA, also known as 10Sa RNA or SsrA, is named for its dual tRNA and mRNA-like properties. Its role is to liberate the mRNA from a stalled ribosome. The record is from RNAcentral. RNAcentral also lists the same sequence under 1 other name.